RNAcentral lists this ribosomal RNA (2809 nucleotides) under Escherichia coli 2-005-03_S3_C1. RNAcentral's name for it is "partial 23S ribosomal RNA". Lineage: Bacteria; Pseudomonadati; Pseudomonadota; Gammaproteobacteria; Enterobacterales; Enterobacteriaceae. The record is from RNAcentral.
GUACGUUUACUAAGUCAACAUAACAAGUUUCAGAAACAAUAAAUGCACUUAAUGAUAAGUUAUCAUCCGAUAAUUUAUGUUCAAGAUUCUUGAUUUCUUUAUAUAAUCCGAACUUUGGAUCAUCAAGAUUAAGAUUGCGGAUGCCUUUUGGAUCAAUAAGACUUAACCAUUGUUUACCACUUUUAUCAUCGACUAACCACAAUAAGAAAUCCGGAUAAAAAUUACCCGCAGUAGCAAAGCCCAGGCCUCUAUUUUUAGAAUCCGCAUUUCUUAGCAGAUAUAAACUUUUAUCACCAAUAAUUUUCUGCCCUUUUGUCGAAUCAACAAAAGACUGAAGAUCAUGGACAAAAGUAAUCUCACUUGAUGCACCCAGUGCUGCCGGUCGCAUUUUUAGCGGUAUGUUGGCAUUUUUUUCAAUCGAAAGAAGUGGAUAAUAGAGAUGUUUAUCAAAGGUAAUAGCAACCAUCCCGGAUGCACUCCAGGAUUUUGCUUUACCGAUUUCGCCGUCGAUGACCAAUUGUUGUAAUUGUUCCAGCCGACUGGCAUAUGCCAACCCAUCAUCAGUUUCUUCGAUCUCGAAAUGGUACAUUUUGAUCAUACCAGGAUCAUCUUCUUUCACCUGCGUGACUUCAUAAAACUGACCUUCAUAAGCAUUUUUCAAUGUGUUGUAAAAGCGAUCAGUAUAAUCAGUCAGCAGACGAAGCAUAAUAUCUUCCUGCUUAGCAAUAUCUGCAUAUUGCUUAAUCUCAAGCUCUGAAGCUGGAAUCAAAAGGGUAUACCAACUAUUUCCGAUCUUUGUCUUACCGGUACAAAAGUCGAUCAAACGUUGUUUAUCCACACGUAAAUUUGACCAGCCGCGUUGUAGUUUAUAAUUCUGAAUGGCGAGAUAAAGCCGAUCAAAAUCAAACGCACUAAUGAUUUUAUAAUCUAACUUCGCUUCAUUACGCACGUUAACCGGAGUAUUGUCCCCUUUUCUGCUGGUAUCAAUCGACUCAAGUUUCGGGUAUAGGUCCAGCUUAAUAUGCGGCUGCUUAAUUUUCCCCUGAAAAUCAGCAGGAACUUCAUACAAUUCGGGAAAAUAGACACGUUUAAAGCCGAGUCUUUGAUUAUCUUUAUAACCAUCUUUAAGCUUAAGUGUUUUAAGCCUGGUUGCUGGCAUAUUUGGCCGAGUUUCAAAAUUCAGCUCAAGGAUCUCGUCACUUGGCGUAAUCCCUUCAUCUUCCAGGUAUUGUUUAAAGGUUGCCAUGUAAUCGGCACGUACACCGAAUACAUUCAGUGUCUCUAAUUUUUCCAGAUGCAACCCUUUCGGACGCUCACCGGGUGUACUGCGUUUCAAAGAAUAAUUGCGACCUUUAAGGCGAACGCCACGACCAAAUAACUGAAUGAUCUGUGAACCUUCUCCACGGCCCAUAUUGAGCAAUCCCAUCGUUGAGACGCGCCAACUGCCCCAGCCUUCAGUAAAUUUUCGCGAGCCGAUCAAAAUAUGUAGUUGCGAGUCUUUGUCAUUUAACGUAUGAAAGAGUGACUUCGCAAAAUCAUCUCUCUGAUAAUCAAAUGUCGUAUCCUCUUCACACAUUUUGUAAAGAGACGGUGCAUCACCAAUAUUGAUAAGACCAAACGGUUCGGCCUCACCAACCUGUAAUGCCAGUUCACCUUUACUGCCUAUUAAAUUCAGAACUCGCAGUCUCUGACCUGAGUGAGUGGUGUUAAACAAACGAGAAAGAAUAUCUGCGUAGAUAUCUUCCGGGCCGUUCAUUAGUGCGGUAAAGCGAUUUUCAAAAAUGUUACGCUCUUUGGUAUCAAGAAUUCGCGCUUUAUUUUCAAUGAGAUCUUUAAUCCACGAUUUUGCCUGCGAUUCAUGAUUUAAAAACCAUGCUAAAAAACGCAGUACUGCGUGAAUGUCUGAAUCUUCACCACUUACGGUGUUACCGACAAAAACCCAUAGCGGUUUUUCGAUAUUAAAUUCAUUUAAUUUUUCUUUAUUCUUAUUGAAUAAAUAUUGUUGCUGAUAAAAGCUGAGCAAACACGCGGUAAAAUACUCAUACCGACGCUCAUCUUUUUUAUCCUCUUCAGGAUUAAGGUUAAGAAUCAGUGAUUCUUGGUAAUGACUCCAACUUACUGAUAGUGUUUUAUGUUCAGAUAAUGCCCGAUGACCUUGUCAUGCAACUCCACCGAUUUUGAGAACGACAGUAACUUCCGUCCCAGCCUUGCCAGAUGUUGUCUCAGAUUCAGAUUAUGUCGCUCAAUGCGCUGAGUGUAACGCUUGCUGAUAACGUGCAGCUUUCCCUUCAGGCGUGAUUCAUACAGCGGCCAGCCAUCCGUCAUCUAUACCACGACCUCAAAGGCCGACAGCAGGCUCAGAAGACGCUCCAGUGUGGCCAGAGUGCGUUCACCGAAGACGUGCGCCACAACCGUCCUCCGUAUCCUGUCAUACGCGUAAAACAGCCAGCGCUGACGUGAUUUAGCACCGACGUAGCCCCACUGUUCGUCCAUUUCAGCGCAGACAAUCACAUCACUGCCCGGUUGUAUGCGCGAGGUUACCGACUGCGGCCUGAGUUUUUUAAGUGACGUAAAACCGUGUUGAGGCCAACGCCCAUAAUGCGUGCACUGGCGCGACAUCCGACGCCAUUCAUGGCCAUAUCAAUGAUUUUCUGGUGCUUACCGGGCUGAGAGGCGGUGUAAGUGAACUGUAGUUGCCAUGUUUUACGGCAAUGAGAGCAGAGAUAGCGCUGAUGUCCGGCAGUGCUUUUGCCGUUACGCACCACGCCUUCAGUAGCGGAGCAGGAAGGACAUCUGAUGGAAAUGGAAG